AAUACGUAGGGUGCAAGCGUUAAUCGGAAUUACUGGGCGUAAAGCGUGCGCAGGCGGUAAUGUAAGACAGUUGUGAAAUCCCCGGGCUCAACCUGGGAACUGCAUCUGUGACUGCAUUGCUGGAGUACGGUAGAGGGGGAUGGAAUUCCGCGUGUAGCAGUGAAAUGCGUAGAUAUGCGGAGGAACACCGAUGGCGAAGGCAAUCCCCUGGACCUGUACUGACGCUCAUGCACGAAAGCGUGGGGAGCAAACAGGA
Molecule: ribosomal RNA, 256 nt
Filed under: uncultured prokaryote
Description: partial 16S ribosomal RNA
Rfam family: Bacterial small subunit ribosomal RNA
Source: RNAcentral